GCUGGCAGGCAUAUCACCCUGUAGCCCAAGACUGGUUACCCACUGAAGCUAAGCAGGGUUGAGCUGGUCAGUACCUGGAUGGGAGACCUCCUCUGCUGAUUGGCUUCGUCUUCU
RNAcentral lists this ribosomal RNA (114 nucleotides) under Sinocyclocheilus rhinocerous. Lineage: Eukaryota; Metazoa; Chordata; Actinopteri; Cypriniformes; Cyprinidae. The record is from RNAcentral.